CCUACGGGAGGCAGCAGUGAGGAAUAUUGGACAAUGGGCGCAAGCCUGAUCCAGCCAUGCCGCGUGCAGGAUGACGGUCCUAUGGAUUGUAAACUGCUUUUAUACGAGAAGAAACACUCCGACGUGUCGGAGCUUGACGGUAUCGUAAGAAUAAGGAUCGGCUAACUCCGUGCCAGCAGCCGCGGUAAUACGGAGGAUCCAAGCGUUAUCCGGAAUCAUUGGGUUUAAAGGGUCCGUAGGCGGUUUAAUAAGUCAGUGGUGAAAGCCCAUCGCUCAACGGUGGAACGGCCAUUGAUACUGUUAAACUUGAAUUAUUAGGAAGUAACUAGAAUAUGUAGUGUAGCGGUGAAAUGCUUAGAGAUUACAUGGAAUACCAAUUGCGAAGGCAGGUUACUACUAAUUGAUUGACGCUGAUGGACGAAAGCGUGGGUAGCGAACAGGAUUAGAUACCCUGGUAGUCCACGCCGUAAACGAUGGAUACUAGCUGUUGGGAGCAAUCUCAGUGGCUAAGCGAAAGUGAUAAGUAUCCCACCUGGGGAGUACGUUCGCAAGAAUGAAACUCAAAGGAAUUGACGG
RNAcentral lists this ribosomal RNA (576 nucleotides) under uncultured bacterium. RNAcentral describes it as "bacterial SSU rRNA". It matches the Rfam family "Bacterial small subunit ribosomal RNA", at positions 338 to 916 of the family's 1533-position model. The record is from RNAcentral.